UUGGGUAGGGGAGCGUUCUGUAAGCCUGUGAAGGUGGCCUGUGAGGGUUGCUGGAGGUAUCAGAAGUGCGAAUGCUGACAUAAGUAACGAUAAAGCGGGUGAAAAGCCCGCUCGCCGGAAGACCAAGGGUUCCUGUCCAACGUUAAUCGGGGCAGGGUGAGUCGACCCCUAAGGCGAGGCCGAAAGGCGUAGUCGAUGGGAAACGGGUUAAUAUUCCCGUACUUGGUGUUACUGCGAAGGGGGGACGGAGAAGGCUAUGUUGGCCGGGCGACGGUUGUCCCGGUUUAAGCGUGUAGGUGUGUGUUCCAGGUAAAUCCGGUUCACUUUAACACUGAGGCGUGACGACGAGGCACUACGGUGCUGAAGCAACAAAUGCCCUGCUUCCAGGAAAAGCCUCUAAGCAUCAGGUAACAUCAAAUCGUACCCCAAACCGACACAGGUGGUCAGGUAGAGAAUACCAAGGCGCUUGAGAGAACUCGGGUGAAGGAACUAGGCAAAAUGGUGCCGUAACUUCGGGAGAAGGCACGCUGACACGUAGGUGAAGUGAUUUACUCAUGGAGCUGAAGUCAGUCGAAGAUACCAGCUGGCUGCAACUGUUUAUUAAAAACACAGCACUGUGCAAACACGAAAGUGGACGUAUACGGUGUGACGCCUGCCCGGUGCCGGAAGGUUAAUUGAUGGGGUCAGCGCAAGCGAAGCUCCUGAUCGAAGCCCCGGUAAACGGCGGCCGUAACUAUAACGGUCCUAAGGUAGCGAAAUUCCUUGUCGGGUAAGUUCCGACCUGCACGAAUGGCGUAAUGAUGGCCAGGCUGUCUCCACCCGAGACUCAGUGAAAUUGAACUCGCUGUGAAGAUGCAGUGUACCCGCGGCAAGACGGAAAGACCCCGUGAACCUUUACUAUAGCUUGACACUGAACAUUGAGCCUUGAUGUGUAG
RNAcentral lists this ribosomal RNA (935 nucleotides) under Salmonella enterica subsp. enterica. Its description in RNAcentral is "partial 23S ribosomal RNA". It matches the Rfam family "Bacterial large subunit ribosomal RNA", at positions 1224 to 2141 of the family's 2925-position model. RNAcentral also lists the same sequence under 1 other name. Lineage: Bacteria; Pseudomonadati; Pseudomonadota; Gammaproteobacteria; Enterobacterales; Enterobacteriaceae. The record is from RNAcentral.